GUAUUCGCUUCGGUGGUACCUACACUAAACUCGGAACGAUACAGAAAAGAUUAUUGGCUCCUGCGCAAGGAUGACACGCAAAAUCGUGGAGCGUUCCAUGUUUUU
This 105-nucleotide small nuclear RNA is filed under the name Schistosoma haematobium. The record is from RNAcentral. Lineage: Eukaryota; Metazoa; Platyhelminthes; Trematoda; Strigeidida; Schistosomatidae.